UUUUCAGUUGUACGAAUAACUGGAUUUCCGGUGUAAAUAUGACAUGGUUGAGAAAGAGCGUACUAUCGGAGUAAACUACUAUUGUCCGAUAUGAGACUUGGAGAAAGGAAGAAUACGAAGAAGUUGUUCUGCAUCGAUUAGCGAUUUCAGCCCGAAAACAUAUACUGGCCACUGACCGACUUCGAAGUUAAAAGCAUCGUUACGGAUUUAAUAUAAGUUGGGAAAGAAGUCCAGUUGCUGGUACUCGAAGUAGAAGGAAAUAAGACAAACGAGAACGCCGUACUUUCAGCAAAAGAUGCGAGAAUUAAAAUCCAUCCGACUCCAAUUAUAUCGCUUUUGUAAGAAUUUGUACAUGCGUGGUUGGGUGAUUAAAAAAUUAUUCGGUUAACGAAUUAAGCGCAUUGAAACGCGAUGAAACGAGAGAAAAAAUAUUUUAGUUAACAAAGUGAAGAGAAACUUACCGAG
Molecule: long non-coding RNA, 465 nt
Organism: Bombus pascuorum
Lineage: Eukaryota; Metazoa; Arthropoda; Insecta; Hymenoptera; Apidae
Exons: 3
Source: RefSeq, a predicted model, not a curated record